This 488-nucleotide long non-coding RNA is filed under the name Olea europaea subsp. europaea. Lineage: Eukaryota; Viridiplantae; Streptophyta; Magnoliopsida; Lamiales; Oleaceae. The record is from RNAcentral.
UCUAUAAACAAUUAUACAAAGCAGCAUAACAGAAAAAUUACAUGUUAUAUACAGAUAAAUAUAUACAUUAAUACAUUACAAAAAGAAAGCGGCACAUACAGAAUUUAAUGGCUUCAUCUUGCAGUGAAAACUCCACAAAAUCCAAAACUAAAGUUGAUACAGAGAAGAUCGAAAAAUGGCUUUUCUUUUCUUGUGGGCUUUUAGAUGUAAUCAGAAGAAAGUCGAAUAAUCCAAGUGAAAAGGCAAAGAAUCAAGAGAAUGUCCAAAGAAAGAAGCAAUAAAGGUAUUCCCCGCCCCCAGAACACGACGUCGCUUCGCCUUCACUUCAUCCACUGUUUCUCCACCAAAAUUUUUCAAACCGCACCAUUAGACCUUUCACCAGACAUAAAUAAAUACAUAUUUGUGUAUAUUAAUUCUAAUUUAAAAGAUACAAAUGUGCGUAUCUAUAGAGUCAUACUUUUCUUUGAGAAGUAUAGUUUGGUUUCAUC